Molecule: ribosomal RNA, 484 nt
Filed under: uncultured bacterium
Lineage: Bacteria
Description: partial 16S ribosomal RNA
Rfam family: Bacterial small subunit ribosomal RNA
Source: RNAcentral
AUUGAACGCUGGCGGAAUGCUUUACACAUGCAAGUCGAACGGCAGCACGGGGGCGGCCCUGGUGGCGAGUGGCGAACGGGUGAGUAAUACAUCGGAACGUGCCCGGUCGUGGGGGAUAACGUAGCGAAAGUUACGCUAAUACCGCAUACGAUCUGAGGAUGAAAGCGGGGGACCUUCGGGCCUCGCGCGAUCGGAGCGGCCGAUGUCAGAUUAGGUAGUUGGUGGGGUAAAGGCCUACCAAGCCGACGAUCUGUAGCUGGUCUGAGAGGACGACCAGCCACACUGGGACUGAGACACGGCCCAGACUCCUACGGGAGGCAGCAGUGGGGAAUUUUGGACAAUGGGCGCAAGCCUGAUCCAGCCAUGCCGCGUGCAGGACGAAGGCCUUCGGGUUGUAAACUGCUUUUGUACGGAACGAAAAGGCUCUGGCUAAUACCUGGGGCUCAUGACGGUACCGUAAGAAUAAGCACCGGCUAGCUACGUG